RNAcentral lists this ribosomal RNA (253 nucleotides) under uncultured bacterium. RNAcentral describes it as "partial 16S ribosomal RNA". It matches the Rfam family "Bacterial small subunit ribosomal RNA", at positions 524 to 776 of the family's 1533-position model. The record is from RNAcentral.
UACGUAGGGUGCGAGCGUUGUCCGGAAUUAUUGGGCGUAAAGAGCUCGUAGGCGGUUUGUCGCGUCGGCUGUGAAAACUCGGGGCUCAACCCCGAGCCUGCAGUCGAUACGGGCAAACUAGAGUGUGGUAGGGGAGACUGGAAUUCCUGGCGUAGCGGUGAAAUGCGCAGAUAUCAGGAGGAACACCGGCGGCGAAGGCGGGUCUCUGGGCCAUAACUGACGCUGAGGAGCGAAAGCGUGGGGAGCAAACAAG